AUUUUGGACAAUGGGGGAAACCCUGAUCCAGCCAUCCCGCGUGUAUGAUGAAGGCCUUCGGGUUGUAAAGUACUUUUGGCAGAGAAGAAAAGGUAUCCCCUAAUACGGGAUACUGCUGACGGUAUCUGCAGAAUAAGCACCAGCUAACUAAGUGCCAGCAGCCGCGGUACUACGUAUGGUGCAAGCGUUAAUCGGAAUUACUGGGCGUAAAGAGUGUUUAGGAGGUUCGGAAAGAAAGAUGUUACAUCCCAUGGCUCAACCUUGGAACUGCAUUUUUAACUUCCGAGCUAGAGUAUGUCAGAGGGGGGUAGAAUUCCACGUGUAGCAGUGAAAUGCGUAGAUAUGUGGAGGAAUACCGAUGACGAAUGCAGCCCCCUGGGAUAAUACUGACGCUCAGACACGAAAGCGUGGGGAGCAAACAGG
This 423-nucleotide ribosomal RNA is filed under the name uncultured bacterium. RNAcentral describes it as "partial 16S ribosomal RNA". It matches the Rfam family "Bacterial small subunit ribosomal RNA", at positions 361 to 776 of the family's 1533-position model. The record is from RNAcentral.